GACGAACGCUGGCGGCGUGCUUAACACAUGCAAGUCGAACGGAAAGGCCUCUUUCGGGGGGUACUCGAGUGGCGAACGGGUGAGUAACACGUGAGUAACCUGCCCUUGACUUUGGGAUAACUUCAGGAAACUGGGGCUAAUACCGGAUAGGAGCUCCUGCUGCAUGGUGGGGGUUGGAAAGUUUCGGCGGUUGGGGAUGGACUCGCGGCUUAUCAGCUUGUUGGUGGGGUAGUGGCUUACCAAGGCCUUGACGGGUAGCCGGCCUGAGAGGGUGACCGGCCACAUUGGGACUGAGAUACGGCCCAGACUCCUACGGGAGGCAGCAGUGGGGAAUAUUGCACAAUGGGUGGAAGCCUGAUGCAGCAACGCCAUGUGCGGGAUGACGGCCUUCGGGUUGUAAACCGCUUUCGCUCAUGACGAAGCUUUGUGUGACGGUAGUGGGUAAAGAAGCACCGGCUAACUACGUG
This 467-nucleotide ribosomal RNA is filed under the name uncultured bacterium. RNAcentral describes it as "partial 16S ribosomal RNA". It matches the Rfam family "Bacterial small subunit ribosomal RNA", at positions 28 to 507 of the family's 1533-position model. The record is from RNAcentral.